RNAcentral lists this ribosomal RNA (527 nucleotides) under uncultured Candidatus Saccharibacteria bacterium. Its description in RNAcentral is "bacterial SSU rRNA". It matches the Rfam family "Bacterial small subunit ribosomal RNA", at positions 554 to 1076 of the family's 1533-position model. The record is from RNAcentral. Lineage: Bacteria; Candidatus Saccharimonadota.
UUGGGCGUAAAGAGUUGCGUAGGUGGUUUAAUAAGCGAAUAGUGAAAUCUGGUGGCUCAACCAUUCAGACUAUUAUUCGAACUGUUAAACUCGAGAGCAGAAGAGGUAGCUGGAAUUUCUAGUGUAGGAGUGAAAUCCGUAGAUAUUAGAAGGAACACCGAUGGCGUAGGCAGGCUACUGGGCUGUUUCUGACACUGAGGCACGAAAGCGUGGGGAGCGAACCGGAUUAGAUACCCGGGUAGUCCACGCCGUAAACGAUGGAUACUAGCUGUUUGGGGUAUCGACCCCCUGAGUAGCGAAGCUAACGCGUUAAGUAUCCCGCCUGUGGAGUACGAUCGCAAGAUUAAAACAUAAAGGAAUUGACGGGGACCCGCACAAGCGGUGGAUCAUGUUCUUUAAUUCGAUGAUAACCGAUAAACCUUACCAGGUCUUGACAUCCUUGGAAUCUUUCAGAAAUGAGAGAGUGCUUUUUAAGAGCCAAGUGACAGGUGAUGCAUGGCCGUCGUCAGCUCGUGUCGUGAGAUGUU